RNAcentral lists this ribosomal RNA (714 nucleotides) under Triticum aestivum (bread wheat). RNAcentral's name for it is "partial small subunit ribosomal RNA". Lineage: Eukaryota; Viridiplantae; Streptophyta; Magnoliopsida; Poales; Poaceae. The record is from RNAcentral.
AUGCAGAAAUGGCAAGAGCGUCCUAGUUAUGCAAUGCGCGCAGGGCUACCACGAGCAGAACCUGAUGAACAACAGGGGUAUACUGAUCAUGUGAUUGAUGGAGAACAUAUACCUGUGGCUAACGAGACUGUUGCAAAUAAUAGCCUUCAGAGAAAUCGACCGCCCCUUGGCCGUCGUAUUGUAGGCAACGAGGAGAGACAAGCUUUGCCUCUAAAUGAGGUCAGAGAUCAUGUAAAUGAUCAGCACCCUAGUUACACUAUGCAGCCAAAGCGAGCACAGCUGGCACACUUGCAUCAAGUCACUCAUUCAGAGGAGAUGCAGGAUGGACUUCUCAGCCAUGAAGUUUAUGGAGAGGCGGGACAUACUGAACUGAUAGAUGAGGCUACUGCAACUCAUAGAAACCAGAGAGUCGGAUGCUCUGUUAGCCCCCAGACUGUAAGUAUAGAGGAGAGGCAUACGGAGACUCCUGCUCAGAUCAUACAGCAGGUGCACAAACAGCCUUUUUAUGAGAGUCAUGCAGAAGGCAGUCAGUUAUACUGUCUGGAUCUUGAUGGGGUGGUUCAUCCACCUGUCAACCAAGCAAAACACGGAGAAGAGGCAUCUACUGAGAUGAUCAAUAAAACAGUUUCGAGGGAGAGCAUUCGGCCAACUGGAUGCGCUGUUGAACCCAACUCUGUUAAUGUAGAGAAGAGAAAGACAUCGACCACAAAUUAG